GGUCCUGAACGAGCCAAAUUGCAAAUUUGGCCGCGCCGCGGCCACGCGGCCAGGACUU
Molecule: transfer RNA, 58 nt
Filed under: Amphisbaena schmidti
Lineage: Eukaryota; Metazoa; Chordata; Lepidosauria; Squamata; Amphisbaenidae
Description: tRNA-Cys
Source: RNAcentral